ACAUUGAUUUGGCUGUGAUUGGUUUUUCAUCUAUAUUAUGACUCAGUUAUUAAGAGAAAAUUGAAGAUGAGUGGAGGAUGCAACCUUAAUUUGAUAAAACAUUUGUAGCAUAUUUAAGUAUUUACAUUAUUUUAUUGAUGGCGAAAUGGCAAUCAUACUGUUACUGUGGACAUGAGUGUAUUAUCAUACAAUUCUUCAUUUACCAAGUUUGACAGCCACUACUGGAAAGUAUCGUUCCUUAUAAAAUGUUUGUUCAGUAUUAAUAUUGUUUAAAUGCUAUAGGUCAAAUAUUAACAUUUCUUGUGAUUUGGCUGAAAAUAUUGGUUUUUACUUUUGAUGUUAUUGUGGACAUACCUUAACAAAUGGAAAAAAAAUAUAGAAGAUGAAGAAGAGUACCACUUUGUCAAGUUGUCGUAAAAAAAAAAAUAUUAACAAAGAGUAUGUAAACUAUUUUUGCCACAGAUCAUUUGGACCAAGAACUUCAAACAAAGGACACAAAUGUACAAAAAGUGGUGGAUCCGUGAAAACUGGCCAUGUUUGCCCUUCUAACAUGAAAGUACACAUAGAAAAUAAACAAAUUAAUGUACAAUAUUAUAGUACACACUUAUGGCAUACGAAGGAUAUAGGAAAACUAAGAUUGUUCAAUGAAGAUAGGAGUAAG
This is a long non-coding RNA of Metopolophium dirhodum (rose-grain aphid), 661 nucleotides long. RefSeq lists it as uncharacterized. The record is from RefSeq and is a predicted model, not a curated record. NCBI's taxonomy places the organism in Eukaryota, Metazoa, Arthropoda, Insecta, Hemiptera, Aphididae. The transcript has 3 exons.